CCGCCCGUCACAUCAUGAAAGCCGUUUGUACCCGGAAGUCGUUGUGCCAACCGCAAGGAAGCAGAUGCCGAAGGUAUGGAUGGUGAUUGGGAGUG
RNAcentral lists this ribosomal RNA (95 nucleotides) under uncultured bacterium. Its description in RNAcentral is "partial 16S ribosomal RNA". The record is from RNAcentral.